GGGGGUGACUGGUUUCGACUUGGGACGGUAGUCCCAGGAGAAGCGGGCCGAGGAGCCGGCGACAUCUCGUUAACGAAUGCCGGAAACCAAUAACUGCCGACAACUCUCGUGCAGACUUCGCUCUCGCUGCCUGAUCAGUGAUCGAAGGGUCAGCCCGGACGUGCCUUCCGUCCGGAUCCUGGCCUCAUCUUGAAGGCUUGCUGGUCGUCUGACGCCGUGGCGGACGAUCGGGACUCAACCAGGGCUGGGCCUGUCCGUGACGUGCCGAUGACGAGCACGGGGGCCGAGUAGAACGACACCAUCGGCUGCGCCCGGAGAAGACCUGGUUCGCCUCUCGAGGACGCGGGUUCGACUCCCGCCACCUCCACCC
This 370-nucleotide transfer-messenger RNA is filed under the name Propionibacteriaceae. Its description in RNAcentral is "Brevilactibacter sp014164685 Standard tmRNA". It matches the Rfam family "transfer-messenger RNA". From Rfam's summary of the family: Bacterial tmRNA, also known as 10Sa RNA or SsrA, is named for its dual tRNA and mRNA-like properties. The record is from RNAcentral. RNAcentral also lists the same sequence under 2 other names. Lineage: Bacteria; Bacillati; Actinomycetota; Actinomycetes; Propionibacteriales.